Molecule: ribosomal RNA, 440 nt
Filed under: uncultured bacterium
Lineage: Bacteria
Description: partial 16S ribosomal RNA
Rfam family: Bacterial small subunit ribosomal RNA
Source: RNAcentral
CCUACGGGAGGCAGCAGUAGGGAAUAUUGCUCAAUGGGGGAAACCCUGAAGCAGCAACGCCGCGUGGAGGAUGAAGGUUUUCGGAUUGUAAACUCCUUUUGUUAGAGAAGAUAAUGACGGUAUCUAACGAAUAAGCACCGGCUAACUCCGUGCCAGCAGCCGCGGUAAUACGGAGGGUGCAAGCGUUACUCGGAAUCACUGGGCGUAAAGGGCGCGUAGGCGGGAUAGCAAGUCAGAUGUGAAAUCCUAUGGCUUAACCAUAGAACUGCAUUUGAAACUGUUAUUCUAGAGUAUGGGAGAGGGAGGUGGAAUUCUUGGUGUAGGGGUAAAAUCCGUAGAGAUAAAGAGGAAUACUCAUUGCGAAGGCGACCUGCUAGAACAUAACUGACGCUGAUGCGCGAAAGCGUGGGGAGCAAACAGGAUUAGAUACCCCUGUAGUC